CCUGCUCAGGACGAACGCUGGCGGCGUGCCUAAUACAUGCAAGUCGAGCGGACUUGAUGGAGUGCUUGCACUCCUGAGAGUUAGCGGCGGACGGGUGAGUAACACGUAGGCAACCUGCCCUCAAGACUGGGAUAACUACCGGAAACGGUAGCUAAUACCGGAUAAUUUAUUUCGCAGCAUUGUGGAAUAAUGAAAGACGGAGCAAUCUGUCACUUGGGGAUGGGCCUGCGGCGCAUUAGCUAGUUGGUGGGGUAAUGGCUCACCAAGGCGACGAUGCGUAGCCGACCUGAGAGGGUGAACGGCCACACUGGGACUGAGACACGGCCCAGACUCCUACGGGAGGCAGCAGUAGGGAAUCUUCCGCAAUGGGCGAAAGCCUGACGGAGCAACGCCGCGUGAGUGAUGAAGGUUUUCGGAUCGUAAAGCUCUGUUGCCAAGGAAGAA
RNAcentral lists this ribosomal RNA (444 nucleotides) under Paenibacillus sp. 211-4.1-LH-Heh(s)-06. RNAcentral's name for it is "bacterial SSU rRNA". It matches the Rfam family "Bacterial small subunit ribosomal RNA", at positions 19 to 449 of the family's 1533-position model. Lineage: Bacteria; Bacillati; Bacillota; Bacilli; Caryophanales; Paenibacillaceae. The record is from RNAcentral.